This 465-nucleotide ribosomal RNA is filed under the name uncultured bacterium. Its description in RNAcentral is "partial 16S ribosomal RNA". It matches the Rfam family "Bacterial small subunit ribosomal RNA", at positions 28 to 507 of the family's 1533-position model. The record is from RNAcentral.
GACGAACGCUGGCGGCGUGCUUAACACAUGCAAGUCGAACGGAAAGGCCCUGCUUGCAGGGUACUCGAGUGGCGAACGGGUGAGUAACACGUGGGUGAUCUGCCCUGCACUUCGGGUUAAGCUUGGGAAACUGGGUCUAAUACCGGAUAGGACCGCACUUUAGUGUGUGUGGUGGAAAGUUUUUUCGGUGUUGGAUGAGCUCGCGGCCUAUCAGCUUGUUGGUGGGGUAAUGGCCUACCAAGGCGGCGUCGCGUAGCCGGCCUGAGAGGGUGUACGGCCACAUUGGGACUGAGAUACGGCCCAGACUCCUACGGGAGGCAGCAGUGGGGAAUAUUGCACAAUGGGCGCAAGCCUGAUGCAGCGACGCCGCGUGGGGGAUGAAGGCCUUCGGGUUGUAAACUCCGUUCGCUAGGGACGAAGCUUUUUGUGACGGUACCUAGAGAAGAAGCACCGGCUAACUACGUG